CCUACGGGUGACAGCAGUGAGGAAUAUUGGUCAAUGGACGGAAGCCUGAACCAGCCAAGUCGCGUGCGGGAUUAAGGCCCUGCGGGUCGUAAACCUCUUUUGCCGGGGAGCAGAGGUCCGGACGUGUCCGGGCCGGGAGAGUACCCGGAGAAAAGGCAUCGGCUAACUCCGUGCCAGCAGCCGCGGUAAUACGGAGGAUGCGAGCGUUAUCCGGAUUUGUUGGGUUUAAAGGGUGCGUAGGCGGGCAUUUAAGCAGGCGGUAAAAUGUCGGGGCUCAACCCCGGCCUGCCGUCGGAACUGGGUGCCUUGAGUGGGCGAGAAGUAGGCGGAAUGCGUGGUGUAGCGGUGAAAUGCAUAGAGAUCACGCAGAACCCCGAUUGCGAAGGCAGCAUACCGGCGCCCUACUGACGCUGAGGCACGAAAGUGCGGGUAUCGAACAGGAUUAGAUACCCCUGUAGUC
RNAcentral lists this ribosomal RNA (460 nucleotides) under uncultured bacterium. Its description in RNAcentral is "partial 16S ribosomal RNA". It matches the Rfam family "Bacterial small subunit ribosomal RNA", at positions 338 to 795 of the family's 1533-position model. The record is from RNAcentral.